Molecule: long non-coding RNA, 335 nt
Filed under: Androctonus crassicauda
Lineage: Eukaryota; Metazoa; Arthropoda; Arachnida; Scorpiones; Buthidae
Source: RNAcentral
CCUCCCUUUUUGGUGCCCUCCGCGGCGGGAGGGAUGUGCGGCGGGAUUUGGAGGGGUCGGGUGUGUGUGCGGUGCCCCUCAGGUGCCCGGCGCGGGACAUGGGGGCUUCCUGCAUCGGGGUCGCUGCGGGAACGCUCCGCCAACGACUCUCGGAGCGCAGGACCGACGUUGGGAGGGGCAGGACAGCAACGGCCCUGGCGGAGCGGGCCUGCACUGCCGGCAUGGUUGUGGAGUGGGAUAGAGCGAAGGUGCUGGGACCAAUCGUCAAGCCGGGGCGGGCCAUGGCACAGGAGACGGUGGAGGUUUUGACUGGAAAAGGGAGGCGCAAUCUUGUC